AGAAAUCUCUUCUUCAUUCAUUUACUCCUGAGUUUUGAGUAGAGGAGGAAGGAGGUCUGCCUUCCUACUGGGAGGGAUGCAUGAAUGUGUUCAGUGUGGGUUUACCAUUUUGUUCAGCAACAGCCACAGAUCUGUUCUUUGGUACUUUUUAAAUAAUCAUUAUGCUUUGUGCUUCCUUCACAGAAUUUUCUAUCAAAAGGAGAUGUGCUGCUACUUGCCCUAAAAGCAGUGCUCUAGUGAAGGUUGUCUGUUGCAACUGAUAGCUCUACGAGUUCCUAAUUUCCUUGAGUUUUGCUCUCAUCCAUCAUGGACAUCCUUGAAAAUUUAUGCUUGUGGCCUUUACCACCAGAUGGUCUAUCAUCCCCCUCUCCCCUGCUUUCUUUGACACUUCAUCGUCUUUCCCCUGCUUUCUUUGACACUUCAUCGUCUUUCCCUUUUCUCUUCUUCUGUAAGUUUCCUUCUGCUAGUUCUGUAGUUUGAGAAUCAAAUAAACCUCAGCAUUCAAUUCAAGGGUUUUGAUUUUUUAAUUCCCCUCAAAACAUCCCUUUCACAAAACCUACAGGUAGAGAGUCUUUCUCCAGGUCUCAGCAGGCAGGGAUGCUGGGAUGAGCAGGACUAGGUCCAAUCUCUUUUGACUCCUGGCUUGGAUUGCCUACCAGGUAAUAACCUCACAUUCAGACAGGGUAAAGAAAGAGGAGAAACCCACAACUGAGUCUUUCCUCAGUGAAACCUUAAACUUCAGGGCUGCUCCGUCCCUUCCUUUCUUCUCUCUGGGGAAAGCUGAGGGGAAGAGGAAGAUAUCUUGAAACAGAGGAGGGGGAUUUGGGGUGAAGUAUGUCAGGUCCCUUCUCCAUCAUGACCACCUGAAAGAAGAAACAUCUUGAUUCAAUAGUUGACUCUGAAGGCUCUUCUCAAACUUUCUCAAUCCUGGGUUCAAGUUUCGGUGGUUACACCUGGACAUUGGGGGUUCACUGGUCUGAUCUUUCCUCACUGCAUUGGGUACACCGAGGUGAAGCUUUGCUGGUUUUCCUCUUUACACCAGGUGGACCGAGCGGAAGCCAUGCUGGCCUAAUUGGGUAGAGCGGGCUAGAGCUUGGAAGGCCUUUCUCUUUACACCUGGUAGACCAGGCAAAAGCUUCACUGGCCUAUUCUUUCCUCUCUGCAUUGGGUAGACCAGGCCGAAGCUACAUGAGUAGACUGGGACGGCCCGGAUCUAACCCCAUCACAGGCCUUGAGUUUGACAACCCUGGACUAUAAUGAUGUGGUCCUUCUGUAAAAGACAUAUGGCACUAAAAUACAUACUUGGUUAGAAAAAUGGUAAACAACAUGUAGAUUUGAAACCAGAGAUAUUGUUAGUG
RNAcentral lists this long non-coding RNA (1358 nucleotides) under Naja naja (Indian cobra). RNAcentral's name for it is "lncRNA (ENSNNAG00000009174.1)". Lineage: Eukaryota; Metazoa; Chordata; Lepidosauria; Squamata; Elapidae. The record is from RNAcentral.